RNAcentral lists this ribosomal RNA (374 nucleotides) under uncultured organism. RNAcentral's name for it is "bacterial SSU rRNA". It matches the Rfam family "Bacterial small subunit ribosomal RNA", at positions 526 to 896 of the family's 1533-position model. The record is from RNAcentral.
CGUAGGGGGCGAAGCGUUGUCCGGAAUUACUGGGCGUAAAGGGCGUGUAGGUGGGUAAUUAAGUCAUGGGUGAAAACUAGCGAGCUCAACUUGCAGACUGCCUAUGAAACUGGAUAUCUUGAGGGCAGGAGAGGAAAGUGGAAUUCCUAGUGUAGCGGUGAAAUGCGUAGAUAUUAGGAGGAACACCAGUGGCGAAGGCGACUUUCUGGACUGUCCCUGACACUGAGGCGCGAAAGCUAGGGGAGCGAACGGGAUUAGAUACCCCGGUAGUCCUAGCCGUAAACGAUGGGUACUAGGUGUGGGAGGUAUCGACCCCUUCCGUGCCGGAGUUAACACAUUAAGUACCCCGCCUGGGGAGUACGGCCGCAAGGUUG